RNAcentral lists this ribosomal RNA (421 nucleotides) under uncultured bacterium. Its description in RNAcentral is "partial 16S ribosomal RNA". It matches the Rfam family "Bacterial small subunit ribosomal RNA", at positions 360 to 773 of the family's 1533-position model. The record is from RNAcentral.
AAUAUUGGACAAUGGGGGCAACCCUGAUCCAGCCAUGCCGCGUGCGUGAAGAAGGUCUUCGUCUUGUAAAGCACUUUAAGUUGGGAGGAAGGGCAGUAAGUUAAUACCUUGCUGUUUUGACGUUACCGACAGAAUAAGCACCGUCUAACUCUGUGCCUGCAGCCGCGGUAAUACAGAGGGUGCAAGCGUUAAUCGGAAUUACUGGGCGUAAAGCGCGCGUAGGUGAUUUGACAAGUUGGAAGUGAAAGCCCCGGGCUCAACCUGGGAACUGCUUUCAAAACUGGCAAGCUAGAGUAUGGCAGAGGGUGGUGGAAUUUCCUGUGUAGCGGUGAAAUGCGUAGAUAUAGGAAGGAACACCAGUGGCGAAGGCGACCACCUGGGCUAAUACUGACACUGAGGUGCGAAAGCGUGGGGAGAAAAC